UCGAAGUAGGUUUCCAUAUUAAUUUUUCAGUACAUCAGCAAUGUUAACACUUGCUCUAACCUUCAUACAAGAGAAAAAGUAUUUAUUAUUGCCAUCUCCUUCAGCUAUCCAGUGAACGUUGGAUUUCUGUUAGUAUUUUCUCUUGAAGUGCUAGCCAUUUAUCCAGAUCCCCUAAUAUAGACUUUUCCAGUUCCAAAAGAGUAUUAUCGAUUUGCACGAUUAGGAGGGACAAGAUGUGCUGCAGUUUAUCUCUAGUUUCCUUCACUUUAUUAUCUAUACAAUCCAUCUCCCCAUGCAUCAACUGCUUCAAAGGCUCAUUGCAAGUUUAAGCUUUUGCCACACCUGAUACAUAUAGGUCUGCUGAAUGGUCUAACUCCAUACUGAGUCUACUUCUGGUAGAAACUUGUCAUGAUCUGCAAAUAUAUUGAUAAAUCUGAAUGGCUUACCACCUUGGGGCUUAUCAGUUGUGAAUUCUAUGUGUAUGGCAGAAUGAUCAGAGAAAUGGUUCUCUUUAUAUUGAGAUGUAAUGUUACCAUACUCAAAAAUCCGCUCACUAUUGUAUAAAGUCCUAUAAAUUCAACUCCAUACAUGUCCAUUAGUCCAAGUAAAGAAUCUACUGGUAUAUUUCAUAUCCACCAGAUUAAGAGAAUCAAUAGUAUACUGGAAAUAUCUAGUUUCU
RNAcentral lists this long non-coding RNA (679 nucleotides) under Nicotiana benthamiana. RNAcentral's name for it is "long non-coding RNA (NBEN_LNC023759)". The record is from RNAcentral. Lineage: Eukaryota; Viridiplantae; Streptophyta; Magnoliopsida; Solanales; Solanaceae.